GUAGGGUUAUGCAUGAUUCUUGGGUACUUUGAACUAAACCGGAUAAUUAAAAAAAAAUAACCGACACCAUAAGAACCGAAUCCAACUGAACUUAAGAUAUUAUUUUGGUUUAGUUUUACUUCUUUACCAAAGCCUAAAUUGAAUAGAGAACCAAACCAAAUCGGACCUGAACCAACUGAACUGAAGCCAAAAUCAAUUUUAUACAUUUUCAAUAUCUUUUACAAUGUUAAGUUGGAGAGUGUUUGGCAUAUUACUCUUUAAUACAUUUUUAAUAUGGGCUUAUAUAAGUAAUUGAACUACUUACACAUCACAAC
RNAcentral lists this unclassified non-coding RNA (314 nucleotides) under Hevea brasiliensis (rubber tree). The record is from RNAcentral. Lineage: Eukaryota; Viridiplantae; Streptophyta; Magnoliopsida; Malpighiales; Euphorbiaceae.